GACGAACGCUGGCGGCGUGCUUAACACAUGCAAGUCGAACGAUGAAGCUGGAGCUUGCUCCAGUGGAUUAGUGGCGAACGGGUGAGUAACACGUGAGCAAUCUGCCCUUGACUCUGGGAUAACUGCGGGAAACUGUAGCUAAUACCGGAUACGACACCUUGGGGCAUCCCGAGGUGUGGAAAGAAUUUCGGUCAAGGAUGAGCUCGCGGCCUAUCAGCUAGUUGGUGAGGUAAAGGCUCACCAAGGCGACGACGGGUAGCCGGCCUGAGAGGGUGACCGGCCACACUGGAACUGAGAUACGGUCCAGACUCCUACGGGAGGCAGCAGUGGGGAAUAUUGCACAAUGGGCGCAAGCCUGAUGCAGCAACGCCGCGUGAGGGAUGAAGGCCUUCGGGUUGUAAACCUCUUUAGCAGGAAGAAGCGAAAGUGACGGUACCGUGCAGAAAAAGACACCGGCUAACUACGUG
This 467-nucleotide ribosomal RNA is filed under the name uncultured bacterium. RNAcentral's name for it is "bacterial SSU rRNA". It matches the Rfam family "Bacterial small subunit ribosomal RNA", at positions 28 to 507 of the family's 1533-position model. The record is from RNAcentral.